RNAcentral lists this ribosomal RNA (253 nucleotides) under uncultured bacterium. Its description in RNAcentral is "partial 16S ribosomal RNA". It matches the Rfam family "Bacterial small subunit ribosomal RNA", at positions 524 to 776 of the family's 1533-position model. The record is from RNAcentral.
UACGUAGGUAGCAAGCGUUGUUCGGAUUUAUUGGGCUUAAAGGGUGCGUAGGCGGCUUUGUAAGUCAGUGGUGAAAUACGGUAGCUUAACUAUCGAGGUGCCAUUGAUACUGCAGAGCUUGAGUACAGAUGAGGUAGGCGGAAUUGAUGGUGUAGCGGUGAAAUGCUUAGAUAUCGUCAAGAACACCUAUAGCGAAGGCAGCUUACUAGGCCGUAACUGACGCUGAGUCACGAAAGUGUGGGGAUCAAACAGG